CCUACGGGCGGCAGCAGUGGGGAAUAUUGGGCAAUGGGCGCAAGCCUGACCCAGCAACGCCGCGUGAGGGAAGAAGGCUUUCGGGUUGUAAACUUCUUUUCUGAGGGACGAAGAAAGUGACGGUACCUCAGGAAUAAGCCACGGCUAACUACGUGCCAGCAGCCGCGGUAAUACGUAGGUGGCAAGCGUUAUCCGGAUUUAUUGGGUGUAAAGGGCGUGUAGGCGGGAAAGCAAGGCAGAUGUGAAAACCUAGGGCUCAACCCUGACCUUGCAUUUGAAACUGUUUUGCUUGAGUGCUGGAGAGGCAAUCGGAAUUCCGUGUGUAGCGGUGAAAUGCGUAGAUAUACGGAGGAACCCCAGUGGCGAAGGCGGAUUGCUGGACCGUAACUGACGCUGAGGCGCGAAAGCGUGGGGAGCAAACAGGAUUAGAUACCCCUGUAGUC
Molecule: ribosomal RNA, 443 nt
Filed under: uncultured bacterium
Lineage: Bacteria
Description: partial 16S ribosomal RNA
Rfam family: Bacterial small subunit ribosomal RNA
Source: RNAcentral